AAACUUUAGCUUUUAGGAUCUGGUUGUGCUUCUAGUUCUUAUAAUCAAUCAUACACAUGACAUCUAGUCAUAUUUGACUCUAAAACACUAACAAGCUUCUUCUUGCUUUUCAAAGCUUUGAUGGUGAAGCCGAAGUCCGUAUGAGUCUUUGGCUUUGUAUCUUCUAAGAAGGAAACAAUAUUUAGGCUUUCAAGAUCCGGUUGCGUAUUU
RNAcentral lists this small RNA (210 nucleotides) under Arabidopsis thaliana (thale cress). RNAcentral describes it as "ATSL089790". The record is from RNAcentral. Lineage: Eukaryota; Viridiplantae; Streptophyta; Magnoliopsida; Brassicales; Brassicaceae.